GACGAACGCUGGCGGCGUGCUUAACACAUGCAAGUCGAACGGAAAGGCCCUGCUUUUGUGGUGUGCUCGAGUGGCGAGCGGGUGAGUAACACGGGAGUAACCUGCCCUUGACUUUGGGAUAACUUCAGAAAACUGGGGCUAAUACCGGAUAAGAGCGCCGGCGGCAUGGUGGUGGUUGGAAAGGUUCGGCGGUUGGGGAUGGACUCGCGGCUUAUCAGCGUGUUGGGGGGGUAGUGGCUUACCAAGGCUUUGACGGGUAGCCGGCCUGAGAGGGUGACCGGCCACAUUGGGACUGAGAUACGGCCCAGACUCCUACGGGAGGCAGCAGUGGGGAAUAUUGCACAAUGGGCGGAAGCCUGAUGCAGCAACGCCGCGUGCGGGAUGACGGCCUUCGGGUUGUAAACCGCUUUCGCCUGUGACGAAGCGUGAGUGACGGUAAUGGGUAAAGAAGCACCGGCUAACUACGUG
This 468-nucleotide ribosomal RNA is filed under the name uncultured bacterium. RNAcentral's name for it is "partial 16S ribosomal RNA". It matches the Rfam family "Bacterial small subunit ribosomal RNA", at positions 28 to 507 of the family's 1533-position model. The record is from RNAcentral.